RNAcentral lists this ribosomal RNA (491 nucleotides) under uncultured Bacteroidota bacterium. RNAcentral describes it as "bacterial SSU rRNA". It matches the Rfam family "Bacterial small subunit ribosomal RNA", at positions 406 to 896 of the family's 1533-position model. The record is from RNAcentral. Lineage: Bacteria; Pseudomonadati; Bacteroidota.
GGAAGAAUGUCCUACGGAUUGUAAACUUCUUUUAUUUGGGAAGAAACCCUUGCUCGAGUAGCGAGGCUGACGGUACCAAAAGAAUAAGGACCGGCUAACUCCGUGCCAGCAGCCGCGGUAAUACGGAGGGUCCAAGCGUUAUCCGGAAUCAUUGGGUUUAAAGGGUUCGCAGGCGGUUUAAUAAGUCAGUGGUGAAAUCUCGGGGCUCAACCUCGAAACUGCCAUUGAUACUGUUAGACUUGAAUACAGUUGGAGUAGGCGGAAUGUGUAGUGUAGCGGUGAAAUGCUUAGAUAUUACACAGAACACCGAUAGCGAAGGCAGCUUACUAAACUGUUAUUGACGCUCAUGAACGAAAGCGUGGGGAGCGAACAGGAUUAGAUACCCUGGUAGUCCACGCCGUAAACUAUGAUUACUCGAUAUUGGCGAUAUACGGUCAGUGUCUAAGCGAAAGUGAUAAGUAAUCCACCUGGGGAGUACGGUCGCAAGAUUG